Molecule: long non-coding RNA, 620 nt
Organism: Papaver somniferum (opium poppy)
Lineage: Eukaryota; Viridiplantae; Streptophyta; Magnoliopsida; Ranunculales; Papaveraceae
Exons: 2
Source: RefSeq, a predicted model, not a curated record
UUACAUUAGCGAUUAAAUCAGCAACAUAACUAAGAAUAAUAAUAUACCGGAGUAUCUUUUUUCUAAGUAUUCAAAAGUCUUCGAUUGAAGAUAAUCAAUGCACUGUCUGAACGCAAGAUUGCAUUUGGAAAUGUGAUAAACUUGAAAGCUAUUUAAACCCAAGAGAUAAUCAACACACCACACACCAAAUUCAAACUCAUAAAUCAGAUCAGUCGAGAUGUCAAACGGAUGUGAAGCAGGUAAGAAUUCAUGGCCAGAGUUAGUUGGGUGCAGUGGAAAGACUGCUGAAAAGACGAUCGAAUCUGAGAAUCGCAACGUAAAUGCAAUUGUGAUACUAGAGGGUAGUCCUGUAACCAUGGACUUAAGGUGCGACAGGGUUCGGGUCUUCGUCGAUAAAACUGGAAAAGUUGUUCAAACACCUGUAAUUGGGUAAUACAUGCACUAUAUGCAUGAUAUGAAUUUCCGGCCUGCCUUAUCUAAAGUUUUAAUUUGAUAUAUGUACGAAUUAAGUCGUUUCUCCAUGUAUACUUAACGAUAUAUAAGUUGUUGUAUUAUUAUUAUAGAUGUCCCUAAUGUUAUUGAAUAAAAGUUGGCCGGAUCGAUUGUGUCAUUUUAUCAAA